RNAcentral lists this long non-coding RNA (2262 nucleotides) under Eucalyptus grandis. Its description in RNAcentral is "long non-coding RNA (EGRA_LNC002787)". Lineage: Eukaryota; Viridiplantae; Streptophyta; Magnoliopsida; Myrtales; Myrtaceae. The record is from RNAcentral.
GAUGUCACGCCCCGAACCUCGAGCGCGUCAACAUCCCACCAUGGUCAUUCAAAUGCGACAUUCCCAGGCAGUGUCGCCGACCCCAUUCAUUUAUUAUUGCGCAAGCGGAACGUACUAUAAAACCCCUGACAAUAAAAUACGGGAUAGAAUAGCAGGAAACAAUUUCACAACCAAUCACUUACACAAACCAACAGAGUUACAGACGAAGGCCUACAGCCAAGAGUCUACAAAAGACCGGCUCUUAAAAAUGAAUUGCCCUACAACCUACAAGUCGGACACGUUCUCCAAUCUUAUGACUUCACCUCUGCAUCUCCUCACGGCCAACCAAAGCUAUCUGGCCGCUCCGUCCACCAAGGACCUGAAAUGGUUAUUCAAUAACCACUGAGACAACGUCUCAGCAAGUUCAACCCCCUAAACCCUUAUUAGAAAGAAAAUACGCCCCAGAGUGGUCUAGCCACACAGCACAGAAGACUUACCUCGCCUUCUUGCCUUCCUGCAGGUUAGUACAAUUCAUAUCACUCAAGCACCAGUAAUGAUAAGAAUGUAAGCCAUCGGAACACAAUCAAUUUCACUUAAUUUCACAAUCACAGCAAGCAUUCCAUGUCAUCAUUAUCCACUGCCACACAAGAGUACAACUUAUUCGACGGUCGGCUAUCUACUAAUAUUACAACAUUUCUAGAAGAAUAAAGGUCCAGUCGGUCUCGCCACUACUGCGACCAUGCCACGUCGUUCUAUCGACAGCAUUUCUAGAAUAAUAAUGGUCCAGUCGGUCUCGCCACUACUGCGACCAUGCCACGUCGUUCUAUCGACAGCGUUUCUAGAAUAAUAAUGGUCCAGUCGGUCUCGUCACUACUGCGACCAAGCCACGUCGUUCUAUCGACAGCGUUUCUAGAAUAAUAAUGGUCCAGUCGGUCUCGCCACUACUGCGACCAUGCCACGUCGUUCUAUCGACAGCAUUUCUAGAAUAAUAAUGGUCCAGUCGGUCUCGCCACUACUGCGACCAAGCCACGUCGUUCUAUCGACAGCAUUUCUAGAAUAAUAAUGGUCCAGUCGGUCUCGCCACUACUGCGACCAAGCCACGUCAUUCUCUUGACGGCAUUUCUAGAAGAAUAAGGAUCCAGUCGGCCUAGCCACUACUGCGACCCGAGCCUUUCAACUAGCACACGACAAUUCAAUACCGAUCCUUGGAUACUUUGCAUGUCACUCACGUACUCCAAUUUCAGUAUUAACCCUUCCAAAUUCGAUUUCGGUGUCAAACCCGACACGUGGGAAUUUCUGAAUAAAAUUUCUAUUUUUCACAAUCAACAUUCAAUUUGCAAUAUUUACUCAUCAAAUUCAAAUUCUAAACACACAGUAGCGAUCGGCACGAAAUUCUGAGCAAAUAGGAUCAAAAAUAAAUUUUCGAGUUUUUUUUUUUUAUAAUAAUAAUAUUUUAAUAAUUUCGGAAUAUAAUAUAAUAUUAUAAAUUCCAGAAUUCCGAAACAAUUAAAUAAUUCAAAAAUAAAACCCUAUUAUGUCACAUCAAGGCUUUAUAUUAAAAAUAAGCAUACUUAACUUUAAACUAAACACACUUUAACUUAAUUAAACACCAUAAUCUAAUCAUCAACCAAAUAAACUAAUUUAACCAACUAAGCUUACUUAAUUUAGGCUAAGCACACUUAGGGCAUCAUUAACCGUCUAAUCAAGAUUUAGUGAGUUAAACUCACCGGAUUAGCGAGUCGAGCGGACCAAAACGACGGGGACGCCGAGGAGAACAACUUUCCUCAAAGCGGGCCGAGCAUCCGGGCUCGGGAAGCCAACCAAAACUGGCCAAAACCGGGCUGCCAUACCCAUUUUUCCAGCUGCUGUCCACUGCUGGUUCAGGCCGAGAAAGGGUAGAUCCGGUGCUUGGAUGAGAUGGGGAAGGAUCGGGGAAGGUUGAGGGGUCGAACCGGACCUAGGCGGGGCCCGAACGGUGGCCGGAGGUGGCCGAAUGGCUCCGGCACGGGCUGAUGCAGUAGCUGCGAAGCGAGCUGAGGCGGAGUGGAGACGGUGCGACGGCGGGCCGGCGAGCGCGCGCGGGUCUUCGCGCGCGGACAGGCGGCGACCGCGACGAACGGCGAGCGGCUACGAGCGUCGAGCGAUCUUCAGCUUCUUUGGUUGCUGGGUUUCGAAGAAGAAGAUGAAGAACAUGGAGGAGAGGGCUCGACGGGAGAGAGAGGAAGAAGAGAGGGAGGAGAGAGAAGGAGGGGGGCCCUUUUUAUUUUCUUUUUCUCUUUCUUU